This 492-nucleotide ribosomal RNA is filed under the name uncultured bacterium. RNAcentral describes it as "partial 16S ribosomal RNA". It matches the Rfam family "Bacterial small subunit ribosomal RNA", at positions 29 to 507 of the family's 1533-position model. The record is from RNAcentral.
AGUGAACGCUGGCGGUAGGCCUAACACAUGCAAGUCGAACGGCAGCACAGUAAGAGCUUGCUCUUACGGGUGGCGAGUGGCGGACGGGUGAGGAAUACAUCGGAAUCUACUUUUUCGUGGGGGAUAACGUAGGGAAACUUACGCUAAUACCGCAUACGACCUACGGGUGAAAGCAGGGGAUCUUCGGACCUUGCGCGAUUGAAUGAGCCGAUGUCGGAUUAGCUAGUUGGCGGGGUAAAGGCCCACCAAGGCGACGAUCCGUAGCUGGUCUGAGAGGAUGAUCAGCCACAAUGGAACAGAGAGACGGUCCAACCUCCUACGGAAGGCAGCAGUGGGGAAUAUUGGACAAUGGGCGCAAGCCUGAUCCAACAAUACCGCGUGGGUGAAGAAGGCCUUCGGGUUGUAAAGCCCUUUUGUUGGGAAAGAAAAGCAGCAGGUUAAUACCCCGCUGUUCUGACGGUACCCAAAGAAUAAGCACCGGCUAACUUCGUG